This is a regulatory RNA element of 125 nucleotides. It matches the Rfam family "Ribosomal protein L20 leader". From Rfam's summary of the family: This family is a putative r-protein leader autoregulatory structure found in B. subtilis and other low-GC Gram-positive bacteria. It is located in the 5' untranslated regions of mRNAs encoding initiation factor 3 followed by ribosomal proteins L35 and L20 (infC-rpmI-rplT). A Rho-independent transcription terminator structure that is probably involved in regulation is included at the 3' end. The record is from Rfam.
AGUCAAAAGCAGAAGCUUCCCGCUUCUCGCCUGAGUGAUUUUGAUCGCUGGGCAAUCUACGAAUGAAAGUCCUAAUAUUUUUAGGUGUAGCGGGUGCUUUGUGGCAUCCGCUAUUUUUCUGCUUA